AUGGCUCAGAACGAACGCUGGCGGCGCGUUUAAGCAUGCAAGUCGAGCGGCAAGGGCCUUCGGGCCCCUAGAGCGGCGGACGGGUGAGUAACACGUGGACAAUCUGCCCCCCGGCCCGGGAUAGCCCAGGGAAACCUGGAUUAAUACCGGAUGAGACGGGACCCGCGAUGGCGGGAUCCGGGAAAGGCGCUGCGGCGCCGCCGGGGGAUGAGUCUGCGUCCCAUUAGCUAGACGGCGGGGUAACGGCCCACCGUGGCGACGAUGGGUAGCCGGCCUGAGAGGGUGGACGGCCACAUUGGAACUGAGACACGGUCCAGACUCCUACGGGAGGCAGCAGCUAAGAAUCUUCCGCAAUGGGCGAAAGCCUGACGGAAGCGACGCCGCGUGAACGAAGAAGGCCGUGAGGUUGUAAAGUUCUUUUCGGGAGGGGAACAACCGUGGCAGGGAAUGGCCGCGGGAUGACGUGAAUCCCGGAAUAAGCCCCGGCUAACUACGUGCCAGCCGCCGC
RNAcentral lists this ribosomal RNA (508 nucleotides) under uncultured bacterium. RNAcentral's name for it is "bacterial SSU rRNA". It matches the Rfam family "Bacterial small subunit ribosomal RNA", at positions 19 to 518 of the family's 1533-position model. The record is from RNAcentral.